AACGAACGCUGGCGGCGUGGAUAAGACAUGCAAGUCGAACGCUGAUUUCAGGGUAGCAAUAUUCUGGAGUCGGAGUGGCGCAAGGGUGCGUAACACGUGGGUAAUUUGCCAUGAAGCCCGGAAUAACUCGCUGAAAGGCGAGCUAAUACCGGAUGUGAUCUUCGGGAGGCAUCUCCUGAACCUUAAAGCUGGGGACCGUAAGGCCUGGCACUUCUUGAUAAGCCCGCGGCCUAUCAGCUAGUUGGUGAGGUAACGGCUCACCAAGGCUAAGACGGGUAGCUGGUCUGAGAGGACGACCAGUCAC
Molecule: ribosomal RNA, 304 nt
Filed under: uncultured bacterium
Lineage: Bacteria
Description: bacterial SSU rRNA
Rfam family: Bacterial small subunit ribosomal RNA
Source: RNAcentral